This 253-nucleotide ribosomal RNA is filed under the name uncultured bacterium. RNAcentral's name for it is "partial 16S ribosomal RNA". It matches the Rfam family "Bacterial small subunit ribosomal RNA", at positions 524 to 776 of the family's 1533-position model. The record is from RNAcentral.
UACGGAGGGGGCGAGCGUUAUUCGGAAUUAUUGGGCGUAAAGGGUGCGUAGGCGGCUGUACAAGUCAAAGGUGAAAUCCCUCGGCUCAACUGAGGAACUGCCUUUGAAACUGUACGGCUUGAGGCCGGGAGGGGGUAGCGGAAUUCCCAGUGUAGCGGUGAAAUGCGUAGAUACUGGGAGGAACACCAGUGGCGAAGGCGGCUACCUGGACCGGUUCUGACGCUGAGGCGCGAAGGCGUGGGGAGCAAACAGG